This 281-nucleotide ribosomal RNA is filed under the name uncultured diatom. RNAcentral describes it as "partial 16S ribosomal RNA". It matches the Rfam family "Bacterial small subunit ribosomal RNA", at positions 1034 to 1325 of the family's 1533-position model. The record is from RNAcentral. Lineage: Eukaryota; Bacillariophyta.
ACAGGUGGUGCAUGGCUGUCGUCAGCUCGUGUCGUGAGAUGUUGGGUUAAGUCCCGCAACGAGCGCAACCCUCAUUUUUAGUUGCCGUAUGGAACUCUAGAAAGACUGCUGGUUAUAAACCGGAGGAAGGCGGGGAUGACGUCAAGUCAGCAUGCCCCUUACACCCUGGGCUACACACGUGCUACAAUGGGUGAGACAAUGAGAUGCAAAUCUGCGAAGACAAGCUAAUCUAAAAACUCAUUCUAAGUUCGGAUUGUAGGCUGCAACUCGCCUACGUGAAG